GACGAACGCUGGCGGCGUGCUUAACACAUGCAAGUCGAACGAAGAGCGAUGGAAGCUUGCUUCUAUCAAUCUUAGUGGCGCACGGGUGAGUAACGCGUAAUCAACCUGCCCUUCAGAAGGGGACAACAGUUGGAAACGACUGCUAAUACCGCAUACGAUCUAAUCUCGGCAUCGAGGAUAGAUGAAAGGUGGCCUCUACAUGUAAGCUAUCACUGAAGGAGGGGAUUGCGUCUGAUUAGCUAGUUGGAGGGGUAACGGCCCACCAAGGCGAUGAUCAGUAGCCGGUCUGAGAGGAUGAACGGCCACAUUGGGACUGAGACACGGCCCAGACUCCUACGGGAGGCAGCAGUGGGGAAUCUUCCGCAAUGGACGAAAGUCUGACGGAGCAACGCCGCGUGAGUGAUGACGGCCUUCGGGUUGUAAAGCUCUGUUAAUCGGGACGAAAGGCCUUCUUGCGAAUAGUGAGAAGGAUUGACGGUACCGGAAUAGAAAGCCACGGCUAACUACGUG
This 510-nucleotide ribosomal RNA is filed under the name uncultured bacterium. RNAcentral's name for it is "partial 16S ribosomal RNA". It matches the Rfam family "Bacterial small subunit ribosomal RNA", at positions 28 to 507 of the family's 1533-position model. The record is from RNAcentral.